CCGCNNGGCUGGGUAUAACNUUNGGACNCANAUGCUAAUNCCGAAUAAAACUCAGUAUCGCAUGAUAUAAAGUUAAAAGGCGCUACGGCGUCACCUAGAGAUGGAUCCGCGGUGCAUUAGUUAGUUGGUGGGGUAAAGGCUUACCCAGCCAAUGAUGCAUAGCCCAGUUGACCANCUGAUCGGCCACAUGGGGNGCCAUUNACGGCCCNAACUCCUACGGGAGAGCUGCAGUACGGGAAUCUUCCACAAUGGGCGCAAGCNUGAUGCGAGCAACGCCGCGUGUGUGAUGAAGGCUUUCGGCGUCGUAAAGCACUGUUGUAUGGGAAGCAAAUNACUAAAAUAGNGCAANUAUUUUAGUUNCACGGUACCAACCACAAGNNNG
This 382-nucleotide ribosomal RNA is filed under the name Leuconostoc mesenteroides subsp. mesenteroides. Its description in RNAcentral is "partial 16S ribosomal RNA". It matches the Rfam family "Bacterial small subunit ribosomal RNA", at positions 129 to 493 of the family's 1533-position model. The record is from RNAcentral. Lineage: Bacteria; Bacillati; Bacillota; Bacilli; Lactobacillales; Lactobacillaceae.